Molecule: long non-coding RNA, 393 nt
Organism: Formica exsecta
Lineage: Eukaryota; Metazoa; Arthropoda; Insecta; Hymenoptera; Formicidae
Exons: 3
Source: RefSeq, a predicted model, not a curated record
CCAUCUGAGAACACUGGUGCAAUGGCCCUUUGUGAUCAGAGUGCCACAUGUUUAGUUAGAACAGUACCAAGAAAUAAAUUAAGAAGAAAAUUAAUUAAUUAAGUGAUCAGAGUUCGUCAAGUUCAAUUAUCGAUUGAAUUUCUGCUAUAAAAAAUUUGAAGAUGAAGAUACGGUUGAAGCGGUAUCAAAAACUUGGUACUCAAAAGAUACAAAAGAAUGCAACUGGCCUCCAUCGCAUUGGAAUCCAAAUAAAAUUAAUGAUUAUAUAAAAUUCAAGAAGGCGCCAGAAUAUGACUGGAAUCGUCAUAGAGUUAUCAUUUUAGGUACCUACGAAGAUCUAUCUGUUGCUCAACGAAAAGCGGAUAAGGCCAAAUAUACGUUUGAUCUUUCGUC